Molecule: unclassified non-coding RNA, 200 nt
Filed under: soil metagenome
Description: partial contains internal transcribed spacer 2 and large subunit ribosomal RNA
Source: RNAcentral
UGUUCGAGCGUCAUUACAACCCUCAAGCUCUGCUUGGCCUUGGGUGCCACCGUCCCGGUGCGCCUUAAAAUCAGUGGCGGUGCGUCCGGCUCCAAGCGUAGUAAUUCUUCUCGCUCUGGAGGACCGGGCGCGUGCUGGCCAGCAACCCCAACUCAUCAAAGGUUGACCUCGGAUCAGGUAGGGAUACCCGCUGAACUUAA